This 387-nucleotide ribosomal RNA is filed under the name uncultured bacterium. RNAcentral's name for it is "bacterial SSU rRNA". It matches the Rfam family "Bacterial small subunit ribosomal RNA", at positions 29 to 412 of the family's 1533-position model. The record is from RNAcentral.
AUUGAACGCUGGCGGCAUGCUUUACACAUGCAAGUCGAACGGCAGCACGGGGGCAACCCUGGUGGCGAGUGGCGAACGGGUGAGUAACACAUCGGAACGUGCCCAGUUGUGGGGGAUAACCUAUCGAAAGGUAGGCUAAUACCGCAUGAGCUCGGCAAGAGGAAAGCGGGGGACUCAGCGAUGGGCCUCGCGCGACUGGAGCGGCCGAUGUCCGAUUAGCAGUUGGUGGGGUAAAGGCUUACCAAGGCGACGAUCGGUAGCUGGUCUGAGAGGAUGAUCAGCCACACUGGGACUGAGACACGGCCCAGACUCCUACGGGAGGCAGCAGUGGGGAAUUUUGGACAAUGGGGGCAACCCCUGAUCCAGCCAUGCCGCGUGAGUGAAGAA